Molecule: ribosomal RNA, 538 nt
Filed under: Streptomyces sp. dtb233
Lineage: Bacteria; Bacillati; Actinomycetota; Actinomycetes; Kitasatosporales; Streptomycetaceae
Description: bacterial SSU rRNA
Rfam family: Bacterial small subunit ribosomal RNA
Source: RNAcentral
UCACCUCCUUUCUAGCUGAGUUUGAUCCUGGCUCAGGCUGGAUCACCUCCUUUCUAGCUGAGUUUGAUCCUGGCUCAGGACGAACGCUGGCGGCGUGCUUAACACAUGCAAGUCGAACGAUGAACCUCUUCGGAGGGGAUUAGUGGCGAACGGGUGAGUAACACGUGGGCAAUCUGCCCUGCACUCUGGGACAAGCCCUGGAAACGGGGUCUAAUACCGGAUAUGACGUGCGACCGCAUGGUCUGUACGUGGAAAGCUCCGGCGGUGCAGGAUGAGCCCGCGGCCUAUCAGCUUGUUGGUGGGGUGAUGGCCUACCAAGGCGACGACGGGUAGCCGGCCUGAGAGGGCGACCGGCCACACUGGGACUGAGACACGGCCCAGACUCCUACGGGAGGCAGCAGUGGGGAAUAUUGCACAAUGGGCGAAAGCCUGAUGCAGCGACGCCGCGUGAGGGAUGACGGCCUUCGGGUUGUAAACCUCUUUCAGCAGGGAAGAAGCGAAAGUGACGGUACCUGCAGAAGAAGCACCGGCUAACUAC